Molecule: ribosomal RNA, 492 nt
Filed under: uncultured bacterium
Lineage: Bacteria
Description: partial 16S ribosomal RNA
Rfam family: Bacterial small subunit ribosomal RNA
Source: RNAcentral
AGUGAACGCUGGCGGUAGGCCUAACACAUGCAAGUCGAACGGCAGCACAGUAAGAGCUUGCUCUUACGGGUGGCGAGUGGCGGACGGGUGAGGAAUACAUCGGAAUCUACUUUUUCGUGGGGGAUAACGUAGGGAAACUUACGCUAAUACCGCAUACGACCUACGGGUGAAAGCAGGGGAUCUUCGGACCUUGCGCGAUUGAAUGAGCCGAUGUCGGAUUAGCUAGUUGGCGGGGUAAAGGCCCACCAAGGCGACGAUCCGUAGCUGGUCUGAGAGGAUGAUCAGCCACACUGGAACUGAGACACGGUCCAGGCGCCUACGGGAGGCAGCAGUGGGGAAUAUUGGACAAUGGGCGCAAGCCUGAUCCAGCCAUACCGCGUGGGUGAAGAAGGCCUUCGGGUUGUAAAGCCCUUUUGUUGGGAAAGAAAAGCAGCAGGUUAAUACCCCGCUGUUCUGACGGUACCCAAAGAAUAAGCACCGGCUAACUUCGUG